AUUGAACGCUGGCGGCAUGCCUUACACAUGCAAGUCGAACGGCAGCACGGGUGCUUGCCCCUGGUGGCGAGUGGCGAACGGGUGAGUAAUACAUCGGAACAUGUCCUGUAGUGGGGGAUAGCCCGGCGAAAGCCGGAUUAAUACCGCAUACGAUCUACGUAUUAAAGCGGGGGACCUUCUUUCCUCGCGCUUUUGUGUUUGUCGAUGGCUGAUUAGCUAGUUGGUGGGGUAAAGUCCUACCAAGGCGAGGAUCAGUAGCUGGUCUGAGAGGACGACCAGCCACACUGGGACUGAGACACGGCACAGACGACUACGGGAGGCAGCAGUGGGGAAUUUUGGACAAUGGGCGAAAGCCUGAUCCAGCAAUGCCGCGUGUGUGAAGAAGGACUUCGGGUUGUAAAGCACUUUUGUCCGGAAAGAAAACCUUGGAACUAAUACGGUCGGGGGAUGACGGUAACGGAAGAAUAAGCACCGGCUAACUACGUG
This 486-nucleotide ribosomal RNA is filed under the name uncultured bacterium. Its description in RNAcentral is "partial 16S ribosomal RNA". It matches the Rfam family "Bacterial small subunit ribosomal RNA", at positions 30 to 507 of the family's 1533-position model. The record is from RNAcentral.